GCUCAGUAACACGUGGAUAACCUACCCUUAGGACCGGGAUAACCCUGGGAAACUGGGGCUAAUACUGGAUAGAUGAUUAUUCCUGUAAUGGUUUUUUGUUUAAAUGUUUUUUCGCCUAAGGAUGAGUCUGCGGCCGAUUAGGUAGUUGGUUAGGUAAUGGCUUACCAAGCCUAUGAUCUGUACGGGUUGUGAGAGCAAGAGCCCGGAGAUGGAACCUGAGACAAGGUUCCAGACCCUACGGGGUGCAGCAGGCGCGAAACCUCCGCAAUGUACGAAAGUGCGACGGGGGGAUCCCAAGUGUUAUGCUUAAAGGUAUGACUUUUCAUUAGUGUAAAAAGCUUUUAGAAUAAGAGCUGGGCAAGACCGGUGCCAGCCGCCGCGGUAACACCGGCAGCUCGAGUGGUAGCUGUUUUUAUUGGGCCUAAAGCGUUCGUAGCCGGUUUAAUAAGUCUUUGGUGAAAGCUUGUAGCUUAACUAUAAGAAUUGCUGGAGAUACUAUUAGACUUGAGACCGGGAGAGGUUAGAGGUACUCCCAGGGUAGAGGUGAAAUUCUGUAAUCCUGGGAGGACCGCCUGUUGCGAAGGCGGCUAACUGGAACGAACCUGACGGUGAGGGACGAAAGCUAGGGGCGCGAACCGGAUUAGAUACCCGGGUAGUCCUAGCCGUAAACGAUGCGGACUUGGUGUUGGGAUGGCUUUGAGCCGCUCCGGUGCCGAAGGGAAGCUGUUAAGUCCGCCGCCUGGGAAGUACGGUCGCAAGACUGAACCUUAAAGGAAUUGGCGGGGGAGCAC
Molecule: ribosomal RNA, 791 nt
Filed under: uncultured Methanobacteriaceae archaeon
Lineage: Archaea; Methanobacteriati; Methanobacteriota; Methanobacteria; Methanobacteriales; Methanobacteriaceae
Description: bacterial SSU rRNA
Rfam family: Archaeal small subunit ribosomal RNA
Source: RNAcentral